Molecule: ribosomal RNA, 497 nt
Filed under: uncultured bacterium
Lineage: Bacteria
Description: partial 16S ribosomal RNA
Rfam family: Bacterial small subunit ribosomal RNA
Source: RNAcentral
GAUGAACGCUGGCGGCGUGCCUAAUACAUGCAAGUCGAGCGAACAAACGAGGAGCUUGCUCCUCUGACGUUAUCGGCGCACGGGUGAGUAACGCGUGGAUAACGUCCCUAUACGACUGGGAUAACUUCGGAACACCGGCGCUAAUACCGGAUAAUAUAUUGAACCAUAUGGUUCAAUAGAAAAAUACGGUUUUGCUAUCACUUGUAGAUGCUUCCGCGCCGCAUUAGCUAGUUGGUAAGGUAACGGCUUACCAAGACAACGAUGCGUAGCCGACCUGAGAGGGUGAUCGGCACAACUGGAACUGAGAAACGGUCCAGACCCUUACGGGAGGCAGCAGUGGGGAAUCUUCGGCAAUGGGCGAAAGCCUGACGGAGCAACGCGGCGUGAGUGAUGAAGGUCUUCGGAUCGUAAAACUCUGUUAUUAGGGAAGAACAAAUGUGUAAGUAACUAUGCACGUUUUGACGGUACCUAAUCAGAAAGCCACGGCUAACUACGUG